ACUAUAUAGAACAACUGACGUCUGUUGUAGCCAGCGGAUGUUUUAUUUGGUAGUUGCGCUUUAUUAAAUCUAUCAUAAGACACACGCGGCUAUAACAGUGCCGUUCAACAAGCAAC
This 116-nucleotide microRNA precursor is filed under the name Drosophila virilis. RNAcentral's name for it is "microRNA dvi-mir-970 precursor". Its record names the gene dvi-mir-970. The stretch from base 22 to 98 matches the Rfam family "mir-970 microRNA precursor family". Lineage: Eukaryota; Metazoa; Arthropoda; Insecta; Diptera; Drosophilidae. The record is from miRBase by way of RNAcentral.